Molecule: ribosomal RNA, 207 nt
Filed under: uncultured bacterium
Lineage: Bacteria
Description: partial 16S ribosomal RNA
Rfam family: Bacterial small subunit ribosomal RNA
Source: RNAcentral
UGCGUAGGCGGUUUAUUAAGUCAGAUGUGAAAGCCCCGGGCUUAACCUGGGAACUGCAUUUGAUACUGGUAGACUAGAGUAUGGUAGAGGGGGGUAGAAUUCCUAGUGUAGCGGUGAAAUGCGUAGAUAUUAGGAGGAAUACCAGUGGCGAAGGCGGCCCCCUGGACCAAUACUGACGCUGAGGUACGAAAGCGUGGGUAGCGAACA